RNAcentral lists this ribosomal RNA (253 nucleotides) under uncultured bacterium. RNAcentral describes it as "partial 16S ribosomal RNA". It matches the Rfam family "Bacterial small subunit ribosomal RNA", at positions 524 to 776 of the family's 1533-position model. The record is from RNAcentral.
UACGUAGGGGGCAAGCGUUAUCCGGAUUCACUGGGCGUAAAGGGAGCGCAGGCGGCAUGGCAAGUCUGAUGUGAAAACCCGGGGCCCAACCCCGGGAGUGCAUUGGAAACUGCCAGGCUGGAGUGUCGGAGAGGUAAGCGGAAUUCCUAGUGUAGCGGUGAAAUGCGUAGAUAUUAGGAGGAACACCAGUGGCGAAGGCGGCUUACUGGACGACUACUGACGCUGAGGCUCGAAAGCGUGGGGAGCAAACAGG